RNAcentral lists this ribosomal RNA (369 nucleotides) under Triticum aestivum (bread wheat). Its description in RNAcentral is "partial small subunit ribosomal RNA". The record is from RNAcentral. Lineage: Eukaryota; Viridiplantae; Streptophyta; Magnoliopsida; Poales; Poaceae.
AUGGAUCUGCCGCCACUUCUCAAGGGGUGCCCUCUGAUGACCGAUUCAUGCCGCCGCCACGCCCGACCACCAGGGCAACUAGACGGUGCUCCCGUCUGCGAGAAAAUCACCCGCGCGGGCAAGGCGCUGAGCGCCGUGCUGGUGACGGUGCUACUACGCCUGGCCGCCAUCACGGACGUGAUUGUCGCCUCUAACGCUCCCGCCUACCGAGUGGCGCUGGAGCACCCAUGCCUCUUCCAUGCCGACCUCCGUUCCAUGCUUCGCCCCGUCGGCGCCCUGCUCGUCGCCUUCCUCCUCGGAUCCUUUACGCACUACAUCAACUCCGACCUGUGUCACUGCCGUCAACCUCCUCUCCAGCGGCAAGGUUAG